GACAGAGGGUGCAAACGUUGUUCGGAAUUACUGGGCGUAAAGCGAGUGUAGGCGGUCCUCUAAGUCGGGUGUGAAAGCCCCGGGCUCAACCCGGGAAGUGCACUCGAAACUGGAGGGCUAGAGUAUCGGAGAGGUUGGUGGAAUUCUCGGUGUAGAGGUGAAAUUCGUAGAUAUCGAGAGGAACACCGGUGGCGAAGGCGGCCAACUGGACGAAUACUGACGCUGAGACUCGAAAGCGUGGGGAGCAAACGGG
Molecule: unclassified non-coding RNA, 253 nt
Filed under: uncultured Polyangiaceae bacterium
Lineage: Bacteria; Pseudomonadati; Myxococcota; Polyangiales; Polyangiaceae
Description: contains 16S-23S intergenic spacer region
Rfam family: Bacterial small subunit ribosomal RNA
Source: RNAcentral